Molecule: long non-coding RNA, 1480 nt
Filed under: Monodelphis domestica (gray short-tailed opossum)
Lineage: Eukaryota; Metazoa; Chordata; Mammalia; Didelphimorphia; Didelphidae
Description: lncRNA (ENSMODG00000039985.1)
Source: RNAcentral
AUGUUCCAGGGCGGAGUCUCAGAAAUGUUCAGAUUCACACCUCCCAGCCCCCACCGCACCCCCAGUUCUCCCAGGCCUCCCGCUCCCAGGGACCCCGGGCAGAGCUUGUGUGUGCCCAGGACCCGGGACAAGCCCCGCAGCCCUGAGGAAGCCCCUGGUGGGAGCCCGGCUGGGUUCUGGGUGCCAGAGAGGCUCAGGGGAAAGAAGGGCCAGGCUGUGCCCCACCCCGGGAAUCCCGGCAGUGCCCGGAGGAGGGGGAGGGGAAGCGGUCGGGCAGCGGGGACCAGGAGGGGAGAAGAGGGAAGAGUUCAGGUGCGGCGGGCCCCCGCCUGUCCGCAGCCCACGGGGACAGGGGACUCACCUCCUCCGGGGCAGGACGAACUGUGCAGGAGCUCAGCGGCACCGGACUCCCGGAUGGGGGAAGCAAAGGCUAUUCCUGCCCUUUACUUCCAGGCUGAAAACGUUGUCGAGAGCUGCUGACCAUUUCCUGCAAUAUUCGUUUGCUUGAAUAGACCCCUGGGGAGGCUAUUCCCUGCCCCGCCUGCCACCUCCGAUCAUUCUGCUGCAUUUCCCUGCCACUUGGGACUGUCUGGAAAACCAGACAUGGCCGGAUCUCUGUCGCUGACUGUCUGUGUGUCUCUCCACCUCACUCUGUCUGUGUGUGUCUCGAUAAAAACAUUAUAUUUGCAAUGAUGGGUCUCCCGGCCCUAUUUUUUUCAUCCUGGUGAAAGAGGUUUUCCUUUGAACUUUUCAGGGCCCCCCUCAAUCUCCACUUCUCACCACAGCAACAGGGAGAAGCCCUUACAAGCUAGCCAAGGAGCUGCCCCCCUCCUGGUGAUGGGAGCCCCGCAGAAUGCAAUUUCUCAUCAGUCCCUCUUCUGUGGCUGAGAGCACAACCGAGGCCCCUGUGUGCUCCUGAACCCUAGCAGAGUCACCCGUAGGGGAAUUGUCCCCGGCAGCCCCUUGUCCCCUUCCCAGGACCUGCCUUCUGCCCCCUUUACCAGGGCUGCGGCAGAAUCUCCCUGACCAGCCGGGGCAGUGCCAGCCUUGCUUCCUCCCAGGGGAACUGGUCUGCUGGGAGCUGCCAGCUUGGCCCCAGACCCCCAGGAAACAAGAGCCCCCACUGAACGGCCAGGAGGGAGCUGGGAGAGGUGGUUCUGCCCAAAGGAUCCCCUUUGGGUUUCUGAGCUUCUCUUCUGGGGCUGAGGCCUCUCCCAGCCCCAGGCCCAGCCUCCAGCCCCUUUGUCUGACCCCUGGACAUCCAGGCCCUGCUUUCUCUGGUCCCCUUCCCUCUGCUGUGGCUACCUUAGAGAAGGGCUUCUCCCCAAAGGGAGACUCUACCAGGACAAAAGGAGACACUUUACCCAUGACAGGACUGCCAGCUCCAGCUAAAGUACUUCACUGUCUAUUAUUAGUCAGAACUUGGGAGGGGGGGCUUUCCCUCACUUCGAAAUUGUCUCCUGGCAAAGUAAAAGUCUUC